CACGCGGGCUCCGGGGAAGGAGCCCAGCCUCACGGCAGCCCCAGGCCUGCGGGCAAACAGGAAGCUUUGGUACACGCCCUCUGGCCACGGGCCAGCAGCCCAGCUUGAAACUGGUGGGAAGAAUGGCAGGAGGCGAGGCCAGCAAAGCCCUGCCGAGGGGCCCUGACCUGCGUUUCUGGAAGAACACCGAAGCACGAUGCCUCUGACCUCGAUCCAGGCGCCAGGGUCAGCACCUCACGCACUCCCAGCUUCGUCCCCCGCCCUCCGGGCAAAAGAAGAAACCGAGGCCCCAGGACAAUAACAGACGAGAGCCAAAGCCAAGGGCAAAAGCUGGUUUCAACCUACUGAUACAACUGAGAUUGGAGAUGGGGCGAGAUGCUGAAAGGUCACCAUCAUACAGUAUUGCUGCCGUACAAUCACAGCUGAUGCCAAAACCCUCAAGGGCAUAGAUGACAGCAAAAUGGGGUAAAGCUCCUGGGAUGAAGACCCUAAGAUACAUAUAUCUUUGGCCUCUGGAAAUAUUGAAAAAAUUAAAAAGGAUAUUCAGAAGUGGCACCUUAUGAUGUAUCUCUCUCCAACACCUGUCAACAAGAGUGACACUUGCCGAACCCUCUUCCUAGCCAUCAGAAAGGAGCAUUUUGCUGCUGAGACUGUGAUGAUGGAGGACCCGCAAAGGAAACACACUCUUCACGGCUGUUGGAGGGGUACUGGAAUCAGAGGCAACAGUCUGGGUCUUAGCCCCGCGGCUCUGUUACAAGGAGACCUUGGUCCAAACGUACAAGCUCGCCUGUGCCUCACUUUUCUCAUCUGACAGAAGGCAAUUAAAAAAAAAAAAAAAAAAAGAAGAAGAAGCAACCACUGUCCCAUCUAUCUCACUGUGAGCUUGCCCUGAAAAGUAGAAGGCUGGUUCUUACUCUCACUAUUAUUUAUAGCUUUCUGGCUUUCUUCACCUGGACAGAUUACCUGAAGUUUCCUCACCUCCUCCUCUAAAAGUGCAGCGCCAUAAAUUUCACGGAUAUAAAAACAAUCUGGCCUGACAUGACUGAACAGGACUUAGACGUUGAACAGAUUUAGGACCCGGCGUUCUCGUGCUCUGGACCCGGUAAUUACAGUGAAUUCACUGUAAACCACGGGGUAGCAUACUUGCCACGAGCAUCCUAGUAAGUGACAUAGAAUUAUAGGCCUGGAAGAGGCCUUGGAAAUCAUCUUGUCCAGCCCUUUCAUUUUACAGAUGACGAAACUGAGGCCCAGGAAGGUUAAGAGGCUUGCCUGUGGUGUAGACCAGCAGCUCAUGAUGACACUGGAUUAGGAUCCGGAUUCCCAGUUCCCUCGUUUUGUGGUCUCUGUUGUUGUAAAGCCACCCACUGACCUUACACGAUUCGGGUGAAGAGAUGAGCCAAGGCAAACACUCACUGGGAGACCCUUCCACAGUCCCGGCCCACUUCUGCUGUCCCACACGCAUCUGUCACUCAAUAGUAGCGGGAAUCCGUAUGUUUUCCCGGAAGUGUCCCCCAGUAGGUCGAGCUGCUGAUGUCUCCCCAGUGAUGUCAUCUGUUCCUCGGGGGCGGACACAGCGCUGAGCUGGUGAAGACCACAGGCGUGAACUCUGAGGGUCCUGGAUGGGAGUCUUGCUUCCAGUCCCUCGGAGUUGGGAUCCUGGGGAAGCCUAAUCUCUUUCUGAGCAAUUUUCCUUAGCUGGAAGAUGACAUAAUAUCUCUGAAAACACUUUGUAAAUUGUAAAGUGUAACAUAAAUAUUGGUGCUUAUGGCCUUAAAAUCCCAGCAAAACCCAGCGUGUGGCAAGCUGCACAAGUGACCCUUGCUUAAUAAUUCUGGUCCGUUUGGUACGCACCAGGGGAAACCCAGGCUUACUUCUCCCUGUUGGUACCCACAGAAGGGUUUUUUCUCCUUUCUCAUAUUUUGAGAGUCUCUCCUUUGCUUCUAGCCACUUGCCCCUUUUCCAUUACUGAUGGAAAUUUUUUUCCUAUGCCCUGCAAUGACCUGGCUUCAUAUUUUCAGUAAUCAAGACUCGCCAGUCGUUCAAGGCUCACUGGGGAGGCAGGCACGCCCCCUGCACAUCUGGAGUGACAC
Long non-coding RNA from Physeter macrocephalus (sperm whale), 2090 nucleotides. RefSeq lists it as uncharacterized. The record is from RefSeq and is a predicted model, not a curated record. The transcript is spliced from 3 exons. Lineage: Eukaryota; Metazoa; Chordata; Mammalia; Artiodactyla; Physeteridae.